UGGGGAAUAUUGGGCAAUGGGCGAAAGCCUGACCCAGCUACGCCGCGUGAGUGAUAAGGCCUUCGGGUUGUAAAACUCUGUCGUGAGGGAGGAAUUUUGACGUUACCUCACAAGAAAGCACCGGCUAAAUCCGUGCCAGCAGCCGCGGUAAUACGGAUGGUGCAAGCGUUGCUCGGAAUUACUGGGCGUAAAGCGAGUGCAGGCGGAUUAUUAAGCCAGAUGUGAAAGCCCGGGGCUCAACCCCGGAACUGCAUCUGGAACUGGUAAUCUAGAGGCAGUGAGAGGGAAGUAGAAUUCCUGGUGUAGAGGUGAAAUUCGUUGAUAUCAGGAGGAAUACCUGUGGCGAAGGCGGCUUCCUGGCACUGUUCUGACGCUAAAGCUCGAAAGCGUGGGUAGCAAACAGG
Molecule: ribosomal RNA, 404 nt
Filed under: uncultured bacterium
Lineage: Bacteria
Description: bacterial SSU rRNA
Rfam family: Bacterial small subunit ribosomal RNA
Source: RNAcentral